This 882-nucleotide ribosomal RNA is filed under the name uncultured archaeon. RNAcentral's name for it is "bacterial SSU rRNA". It matches the Rfam family "Archaeal small subunit ribosomal RNA", at positions 23 to 903 of the family's 1478-position model. The record is from RNAcentral.
GUUACUGCUAUCGGAGUUCGAUUAAGCCAUGCGAGUCUAAAGGUUUCUUCGGAAGCCUUGGCGGACUGCUCAGUAACACGUGGAUAACCUGCCCUUAGGUCUGGCAUAACCCCGGGAAACUGGGGAUAAUACCGGAUAGAUCAGGGGUCGCUGGAAUGCGCCCUGAUCCAAAGCUCCGGCGCCUAAGGAUGGGUCUGCGACCUAUCAGGUUGUAGUGGGUGUAAUGUACCUACUAGCCGACGACGGGUACGGGUUGUGAGAGCAAGAGCCCGGAGAUGGAUUCUGAGACACGAAUCCAGGCCCUACGGGGUGCAGCAGGCGCGAAACCUUUACAAUGUGCGAAAGCAUGAUAAGGGAACUCCGAGUGCCAGCAUUAAAUGUUGGCUGUCCUUGUGCCUAAAACGCACAAGAUAGCAAGGGCCGGGUAAGACCGGUGCCAGCCGCCGCGGUAACACCGGCGGCCCGAGUGGUAGCCGCUAUUAUUGGGUCUAAAGGGUCCGUAGCCGGUUUGAUAAGUCCUCUGGGAAAUCUGAUUGCUCAACAAUCAGGCUGCCAAGGGAUACUGUCAAACUUGAGACCGGGAGAGGUAAGAGGUACUUCAGGGGUAGGAGUGAAAUCUUAUAAUCCUUGGGGGACCGUCUGUGGCGAAGGCGUCUUACCAGAACGGGUCUGACGGUGAGGGGCGAAAGCUGGGGGCGCGAACCGGAUUAGAUACCCGGGUAGUCCCAGCCGUAAACGAUGCUCGCUAUGUGUCAGAUACGGUGCGACCGUAUCUGGUGCCGUAGGGAAGCCGUGAAGCGAGCCACCUGGGAAGUACGGCCGCAAGGCUGAAACUUAAAGGAAUUGGCGGGGGAGCACUACAACGGGUGGAGCCUGCGGUUU